Molecule: long non-coding RNA, 521 nt
Organism: Hemicordylus capensis (graceful crag lizard)
Lineage: Eukaryota; Metazoa; Chordata; Lepidosauria; Squamata; Cordylidae
Exons: 3
Source: RefSeq, a predicted model, not a curated record
GAUGCUUCCUGAAAACAAGAUCUCUGAUUUUUUUUGCAAUCCUCCUAGUCUGCCUGUGCGAAACUGACAAAGAUGGACAAAAUGCUUCCCUUUGCCUUAUCUCUUCUGAUCUGCUGGACAGUUGCUCAAGGUUUGGUGUGCAAUCAGUGUAAAUGGUAUCAGGACUGUUAUGGAGAAAAUACGACAUGUGUUACCGAGCCUGAUUAUCCAUACUGCUAUACAGCUGCAGUCUUAACAAGGGAAAAUACUUUUCAGAGUUAUGGUUGUGCCUACUUUGAGCCCUGCAACAGCUGGGAACCGUUUCUGGAUCAGGACAAGACAUAUGUAAUGAGAUGUUGUAAAUCUGACUACUGUAACGGGCAUUCUGUCACUGAGCACUUUCGUUCAGCAUUCUUCCCAUAAGUCAUAUUUCUCAUGCACCAUCUUUUCUAACCCCUGACAUGUAGCACAUGUGAAUCUGGCUUCUCAUAUCAAGAUGGUGCACCUUGACCUGUUGAAAACCUUGGAGGUGAAAGAAUAAA